AACGAACGCUGGCGGCAUGCCUAACACAUGCAAGUCGAACGAGACCUUCGGGCCUAGUGGCGCACGGGUGCGUAACACGUGGUAACCUGCCCUUAGGUUCGGAAUAACUCCCCUAAAGGGGUGCUAAUACCGCAUAAUGUCUUCGGACCAAAGAUUUAUCGCCUUUGGAUGGGCCCGCGUUGGAUUAGCUAGUUGGUAGGGUAAAAGCCUACCAAGGCGACGAUCCAUAGCUGGUCUGAGAGGAUGAUCAGCCACACUGGGACUGAGACACGGACCAGACUCCGACGGGAGGGAGCAGUGGGGAAUAUUGGACAAGGGGCGAAAGCGUGAUCCAGCAAUGCGGCGUGAGUGAUGAAGGCCUUAGGGUUGUAAAGCUCUUUUACCCGGGAUGAUAAUGACAGUACCGGGAGAAUAAGCUCCGGCUAACUCCGUG
RNAcentral lists this ribosomal RNA (433 nucleotides) under uncultured bacterium. Its description in RNAcentral is "partial 16S ribosomal RNA". It matches the Rfam family "Bacterial small subunit ribosomal RNA", at positions 29 to 507 of the family's 1533-position model. The record is from RNAcentral.